GACAGCGAGGACACACACACGCACACACCGCUAAAUCGGUCACCGGAUCGUCUUGAGAAUUCGAAUUUGUGAAACGGACACGGAAACUAAGGCUAAGAGCACUGGGAGAAUCUCUUAAUUCAGUCCAAUAUAGUUGAUUUCUGCAACGACUGCAAAGAAACCUGCCAAAAAGCUAGUACAAGCCUUCCAUCAUCUUAUCUUUGAGGCAACAGCAAUGAAGAUCCACACAAGAGCGAUGGUGGUCGUACUGGUUCUAAUUGUGCUCCUGCUGACGCCCUCAUCGGCUUUGUUCUACCGCAAGUACAGGUUCUUCAGGCCAUUGAGAAUAAGAGUCCACAGGCCUACGAGCUCGGCCAAGUCACCUCACAGGUUCGGUCCAGGUCCCAUAGGUUUCCGAGGGAGACGCAGUUUAUGAUUCUUGAAUCCGUGAUCGAGGCCGCCUGAUGCAACUGCAUACAUGUUUCGUUAUCCAUCAAGAACAGAUCACCGGAGCAGUUAUAUAAAAGAUGGCAAUGUAUUGUAGAUAAUACAUGAUGUGAUGAAUUGGAAGGUGAUGACGAAUGAUGACAAAUAAUUGGUGUUCUGAUAUGAAACAUCGAUGGUGAUGUAACUGGCGUUCAUCCUAAAGUAUAAGGUACUGGUAAUGGGUCGUGGGUAUCUAUGGGUUAUGCUGAAAAUACCGUUGAUAAUUCCAUCUCGUGGCUAAGUACGAUUCGGGUGUCAACGUCAUGAAAGAAAUGACACAUGAAUUUUAAGGGCUUCGCCACAGGUAAGAAAUCUCUUAGGGGUUGCCAUGCAAGAGAUGGGUGCUCAGCUGUUAUGGUGCAAAGGAAAUGAUGCUUGGGACUGACAGAUAAUGGGAAUUGGGAUGGAUGAUAAGGAGAAAAUUGCAAUGGUGUUUGUUGUGCUUAUAUAUUUUAUGUAUAUAUAUCGCCGAUAAUGUUUGGUGCAUAUGUUGAAAUGAGGGAAGCAUGUUUUGAAUGAUUAGCGUUGGAUUGAAAGAGGAUGAAGAUCCUCGAUAAGAAGGACAGAAUUACAAGAAAAAAACAACAAAAAGAAAUGUAUAUUAUGAUACAUCGGAUUAGUACCGAUGAAAAAUAAUGCAUAUGUCAAUUAUAAACUAUAAUAAAAGU
This 1133-nucleotide long non-coding RNA is filed under the name Penaeus japonicus. RNAcentral describes it as "uncharacterized LOC122257609". Lineage: Eukaryota; Metazoa; Arthropoda; Malacostraca; Decapoda; Penaeidae. The record is from RNAcentral.